Long non-coding RNA from Paramormyrops kingsleyae, 598 nucleotides. RefSeq lists it as uncharacterized. The record is from RefSeq and is a predicted model, not a curated record. NCBI's taxonomy places the organism in Eukaryota, Metazoa, Chordata, Actinopteri, Osteoglossiformes, Mormyridae.
GGGAUAAGCGGCUGAAAGAUAAGAUAAGAGCGCACAUAUACAUAGAAUUUUCUAAGGAUCAAAAAGUGUGUCUUUUAAAAACUGUAAUUGUAAAGAGAGGUAGAAUCUCUCAAAAAAGACAGAGGAGUACUUUUUGUAAUUUAGUUUCUGAGUCCAUGAAGAAAAAAAUCGAUCACUGGUGUCUUCUUUUUCACAUAUUGCUUAAUUCUAGGUAAUAACAUCCCCUAAAAAUGGAUCAACUGUCAAUUAUUUGAAAUACGAACAAUCUGCCACAAUGGGACAUCAUAGAUUCAGAAUUUUUGGGAUCUUCUGGAUUAAAGUACUACUGGAUUGCAGUUAGAUGUACUCUGGGGUUUCGAAGUCCAGAGAAAGGGCAUUCAUUACCUUUUGCAAAACUGACAUGUGUAGGACCAAGUGAAGAAGGAGAACCUCUUGGUUCGGCAGGAGAAGCAGAGCUGCGGGAGUCGACACCGUGUGACUGUAGACACGAAAUCCCAAACGACUGGCGAGUUUCACACACACCUCAGAGUCGGAGCUGUCAAGUUCUGCCAGUGUGGGAGCUUUCAGCAGCCUCUUCCUCUGGGACAGUGCCUGAGCC